UACGUAGGGUGCGAGCGUUAAUCGGAAUUACUGGGCGUAAAGCGUGCGCAGGCGGCUUUGCAAGACAGAUGUGAAAUCCCCGGGCUCAACCUGGGAAUUGCGCUUGUGACUGCAAAGCUGGAGUGCGGCAGAGGGGGAUGGAAUUCCGCGUGUAGCAGUGAAAUGCGUAGAUAUGCGGAGGAACACCGAUGGCGAAGGCAAUCCCCUGGGCCUGUACUGACGCUCAUGCACGAAAGCGUGGGGAGCAAACAGG
Molecule: ribosomal RNA, 253 nt
Filed under: uncultured bacterium
Lineage: Bacteria
Description: partial 16S ribosomal RNA
Rfam family: Bacterial small subunit ribosomal RNA
Source: RNAcentral